RNAcentral lists this ribosomal RNA (469 nucleotides) under uncultured bacterium. RNAcentral's name for it is "partial 16S ribosomal RNA". It matches the Rfam family "Bacterial small subunit ribosomal RNA", at positions 28 to 507 of the family's 1533-position model. The record is from RNAcentral.
GACGAACGCUGGCGGCGUGCUUAACACAUGCAAGUCGAACGAUGAAGCCUUAGCUUGCUUUGGUGGAUUAGUGGCGAACGGGUGAGUAACACGUGAGCAACGUGCCCAGGACUCUGGAAUAACCGCGGGAAACCGUGGCUAAUACCGGAUAGGUGCCGAGGCCGCAUGGUCUUCGGUUGGAAAGUUUUUGCGGUUCUGGAUGGGCUCACGGCCUAUCAGCUUGUUGGUGGGGUAAUGGCCUACCAAGGCGACGACGGGUAGCCGGCCUGAGAGGGUGACCGGCCACACUGGGACUGAGACACGGCCCAGACUCCUACGGGAGGCAGCAGUGGGGAAUAUUGCACAAUGGGCGCAAGCCUGAUGCAGCAACGCCGCGUGGGGGAUGACGGCCUUCGGGUUGUAAACCUCUUUUAGUAGGGAAGAAGCGCAAGUGACGGUACCUGCAGAAAAAGCACCGGCUAACUACGUG